RNAcentral lists this ribosomal RNA (270 nucleotides) under uncultured bacterium. RNAcentral's name for it is "partial 16S ribosomal RNA". It matches the Rfam family "Bacterial small subunit ribosomal RNA", at positions 29 to 326 of the family's 1533-position model. The record is from RNAcentral.
AGCGAACGCUGGCGGCAUGCUUAACACAUGCAAGUCGCACGGUCAGCAAUGGCAGUGGCGGACGGGUGAGUAACGCGUAGGAAUCUAUCUCUGGGUGGGGGACAACUGUGGGAAACUACAGCUAAUACCGCAUGAUACCUGAGGGUCAAAGGCGCAAGUCGCCUGGAGAGGAGCCUGCGUCUGAUUAGCUAGUUGGUGAGGUAAAGGCCCACCAAGGCGACGAUCAGUAGCUGGUCUGAGAGGAUGAUCAGCCACAUUGGGACUGAGACA